RNAcentral lists this ribosomal RNA (468 nucleotides) under uncultured bacterium. RNAcentral describes it as "partial 16S ribosomal RNA". It matches the Rfam family "Bacterial small subunit ribosomal RNA", at positions 28 to 507 of the family's 1533-position model. The record is from RNAcentral.
GACGAACGCUGGCGGCGUGCUUAACACAUGCAAGUCGAACGGAAAGGCCCUGCUUUUGUGGGGUGCUCGAGUGGCGAACGGGUGAGUAACACGUGAGUAACCUGCCCCUGACUUUGGGAUAACUUCAGGAAACUGGGGCUAAUACCGGAUAGGAGCUCCUGCUGCAUGGUGGGGGUUGGAAAGUUUCGGCGGUUGGGGAUGGAAUCGCGGCGUAUCAGCUUGUUGGUGGGGUAGUGGCUUACCAAGGCUUUGAAGGGUAGCCGGCCUGGGAGGGUGACCUGCCACAUUGGGACUGGGAUACGGCCCAGACCCCUACGGUACGCAGAGGUGGGGAAUAUUGCACAAUGGGCUGAAGCCUGAUGCGACAACGCCGCGUGCGGUAUGACGGCCUGCGGGUUGUAUACCGCUUUCGCCUGUGACGAGGCGUGAGUGACGGUAAUGGGUGAAGAAGCACCGGCUAACUACGUG